ACGGGAGGCAGCAGUGGGGGAUAUUGCACAAUGGGGGAAACCCUGAUGCAGCGACGCCGCGUGAGUGAUGAAGUAUUUCGGUAUGUAAAGCUCUAUCAGCAGGAAAGAUAAUGACGGUACCUGACUAAGAAGCACCGGCUAAAUACGUGCCAGCAGCCGCGGUAAUACGUAUGGUGCAAGCGUUAUCCGGAUUUACUGGGUGUAAAGGGAGCGCAGACGGCAUGGCAAGCCAGAUGUGAAAGGCAGGGGCUCAACUCCUGGACUGCAUUUGGAACUGUCAAGCUAGAGUAUCGGAGAGGUAAGUGGAAUUCCUAGUGUAGCGGUGAAAUGCGUAGAUAUUAGGAGGAACACCAGUGGCGAAGGCGGCUUACUGGACGAUAACUGACGUUGAGGCUCGAAAGCGUGGGGAGCAAACAGGAUUAGAUACCCUGGUA
This 434-nucleotide ribosomal RNA is filed under the name uncultured Clostridium sp. Its description in RNAcentral is "partial 16S ribosomal RNA". It matches the Rfam family "Bacterial small subunit ribosomal RNA", at positions 341 to 792 of the family's 1533-position model. The record is from RNAcentral. RNAcentral also lists the same sequence under 1 other name. Lineage: Bacteria; Bacillati; Bacillota; Clostridia; Eubacteriales; Clostridiaceae.